AGAGUAAUAUAUGUUUAAAGUUUUGUGAUGGAGAAACAAGUUUUCAUUAACUUGUUCAUCUUUAACUUUAAUUUCUAUGCAGCUUUACAGUAUUGUGCUAAUUAGUCAUUACUUUUUAUGGCACAUAGAAAUUUUUAAUAAUUAAAUAUUAAUUACUUUUUUCAAUUUCUUUUCCCGAGAGCAUUUUAUGUGAUAGACACAGCAUGGAUCUAUAAAUAUCUAGCACAGUCCCUGACUUCAAGAAACUUACAGACUGUGGGGGAAGCAGAUUUGUCAAAAGUUACAAUACAAAAAUGGCAGGGAGGCAUGGUUAUACAUCGGAGAUACUGACUAAGGUAGAAGAUGUCUGUUUUGGAAAUGAUGGAGUUUAUCAGAAGACAAGUGGGGCAGAGAGAAUUAAAGGGGAAAAUCACAGGAUAUGAAAAAUUCCAGUAUGAAAGCAUAGCCCUUCUAGAGGUCAACCCAUAGAAGUGAGGUUUUGACUAUAAGGUGUUCCUGGUUCUACAUGAGGCUGUGUAAGUGGGUGAGUAGGAGACAGAUUGUGUGAAUGAUGCUGAGUAUUUUAAUAAUGUGUGAAGUGUGAAGAUUUGGCUUAACUGUGAAAAUGCAGGGGAUGAUUUGAUGAGAAGCCUCACACCAGGAAAAAAGCUGUAGAAAGGCGAAACUAACAAUUCUUGUUUUGUCUUGCUCUUUUGGGCACACUAGGCCUAUGUUUGUUCUUUUAUAUUCUCAUAUUCCUCAGACUCAAUGAACACAUCAAGUUAAAUGAUUACCUCUUUUCUGUGUAAAAUGGUGCCUCAUCAUUGGAGGGUUAACAUAUUCCUAAAGUUUUAAGGUAUGUCACAAAGAGUAGCACACCCCAAAUUUAUCAGGAAGAGAGAAAGGAGACUUUUUCUAUCGAGGUAACUUUAUGCACCUCUCCUCUUUUUAGCCAUACAAUAAAUGACUCUGUGGUGUUGUGUGGUAUUGUAACCUUGGUGUUGUGGGGUAUGGUAACUGUUGAUGGUGGAAAAAAUAAAAAACACGAUAUGGUUCUGUACUCACAGCUUCAUCAUAUCAUAGUAUUUCAGUCUGACAUUUGUGGCAGGGUAAAGGUAAGGGCCAUGGUGGCACAUAAAUACCACUGUAGUGUUUCUGCCAGUUGCUACCAUUACCCAAGGUAGUCAUGGAUUAAAAAAAUCACACACACACACAUGCACACACACACACACACACACACACACACACAUACACUGGAUUACUGCAUUGCUCAUUACACUUACAAUGAGUAAUAAUGGAAUCCUGGAUGCAUUGAAAAGUCAGUGUAAAAAGUGCCCAGUUACUCUGGGCGAUUACAAAUGAUCUACAUACAAAGAAGCAGAAGGCAGAGAGAAGAGGUUUCAGUAGAGAUGAAAGUUGAAGAACAAGAUAAAGACUGGAGCGUGUGAACAAUAUACCAUGAAGUCCACUCUAGUGAAAAAAAGUACUUGGAAAAUGUAGAAGAAAUUGUCUUAGGUACUUAGUGUCUAGGAAUUUCACAACACCGAGUCUUUGGGAAAAUCGUCAAAAUGUGUCAAGAGGGAUGGUAAAGACCAGAUAACAAAGGGUCUUUGAGAAUUUGAACAUAAAAAGAAUCCAUUUGGUUUUUUUUUCCACCUCAGGGGAAGUGAACUUUAUGGUAGCUGUUGAAAACAACCAAGUUGAACGGGGAUUGACAUUUGAAGCAUUCAUGUUUCUAAUUUAAAUAAAAAACAUACAAAACAGAAAAUAAACAAUUUAACAAACAAUUAUAAUUUGUACUCAUAUGCCUCACUCUACUAGGAUCGCUGUUUAUCGAUAGAGGAAAGAAAAUACUAAGAGAAGGAGCCAGGAAGGCUCUACUGUAGCUGCACCACUGAAGAUGCUGAGGAGAGUGGUAUUAUGGCACAUGCUCCUCUCAGCUAACACCAUGCCCAUUUAGGCCACUUGAUUCCUUCCUUCAGCAGAUCGUGGAAAAUGAAGCUGUGGCAGCUGCAUACCACAAUUCCAGAUAACUCCAUGCAACAUGAUUCUCACAAUAAUCACACUUUAAGACUUGUCUUUUUUUUAGUUUAUGUACAUGUGUGUGCACAUGCAGUAUAUGUUAAUUGCCACAUGUGUGCAAUUACCACGAUUUUGGAACUACCUUUCCCUUUCUGAGAUAUCUGGAUCAUGGUUAGUCACCUGAAUUCAUAAGGGUUUUCAGGAAUUCCCAGAAUAUCACUGACCUCUAUUCCAGUCCUAGUUAUUGGGUAUUUUCUACUAUAAAAGAAAAUCCUUAAAAGCUU
Molecule: long non-coding RNA, 2285 nt
Organism: Mesocricetus auratus (golden hamster)
Lineage: Eukaryota; Metazoa; Chordata; Mammalia; Rodentia; Cricetidae
Exons: 2
Source: RefSeq, a predicted model, not a curated record